AUCCAGCUGAUGAGUCCCAGAUAGGACGAAGCACACGUACUGGAU
This 45-nucleotide non-coding RNA is filed under the name Schistosoma margrebowiei. The record is from RNAcentral. Lineage: Eukaryota; Metazoa; Platyhelminthes; Trematoda; Strigeidida; Schistosomatidae.